UACGGAGGGUGCGAGCGUUAAUCGGAAUUACUGGGCGUAAAGCGCGCGUAGGCGGUCAGGCAAGUCGGGUGUGAGAGCCCUGGGCUCAACCUGGGAAUUGCAUUCGAAACUAUCUGACUCGAGUAUGGGAGAGGGAAGCGGAAUUUCCGGUGUAGCGGUGAAAUGCGUAGAUAUCGGAAGGAACACCAGUGGCGAAGGCGGCUUCCUGGACUAACACUGACGCUGAGGUGCGAAAGCGUGGGGAGCAAACAGG
This 253-nucleotide ribosomal RNA is filed under the name uncultured bacterium. RNAcentral describes it as "partial 16S ribosomal RNA". It matches the Rfam family "Bacterial small subunit ribosomal RNA", at positions 524 to 776 of the family's 1533-position model. The record is from RNAcentral.